UUCUUCCCAUUGGUGAAUACCUAAUUACUACCAGGAGGAAAAUAGGUCCUGCCUGGCAAAGACAGAUGCUCAAAACAAGCAGCAGUCUCCACCUUAGGAACGGGCACCAGAGGAAGAAAACAGAAGGUUCAAUAAACUGAAGGACAUUGGAGGCAG
This is a long non-coding RNA of Fundulus heteroclitus (mummichog), 156 nucleotides long. RefSeq lists it as uncharacterized. The record is from RefSeq and is a predicted model, not a curated record. The transcript is spliced from 3 exons. Lineage: Eukaryota; Metazoa; Chordata; Actinopteri; Cyprinodontiformes; Fundulidae.